This is a long non-coding RNA of Quercus lobata, 1111 nucleotides long. RefSeq lists it as uncharacterized. The record is from RefSeq and is a predicted model, not a curated record. The transcript has 4 exons. NCBI's taxonomy places the organism in Eukaryota, Viridiplantae, Streptophyta, Magnoliopsida, Fagales, Fagaceae.
CUUCUCUCUUACACUCCCUCACUUUCCCACCCGCACCCCACUCCUCACCACCUCCACCAUCCUUUCCAGCAAAGUUUACCAGAAAAUCCCAUAGGAAUAAGCCAAGGCUCACACAUCCAUAUUAUUUGAAUCUUUUCCAGCAAAGUUUACCGGAAAAUCCCAUAGGAAUAAGCCAAGGCUCACACAUCCAUAUUAUUUGAAGUAAAAAUUCCUAAUCUUUUUGGUUCUAACUAAUCUCCUAUGGAGCUUGGAAAAUUAGGCUUUUUGCAGGUUGCAAGGUUUGCCAUUGUGCUAUGAUGUUGGUGAUUAUCCCAUCUUUGUGACGUGUGAUUAACCCCGUCUUUGUGACGACAUCUUUGUGACGUGUGAUUACCCCAUCUUCAUGACGACAAGCCAGGUUGGAGGCUCCCACUUUGCAUGACAUGGGUAAAUCCUUGAGUGUGUGGAUGAGACUGCUGCCCAUUGAGCCAAAAGACCACAUGCAAAAGGGGUACUGUGUGACACGUCAUUCCUUGCUGCCCAUGGGGAGAAAAGGUAAAUCCUUGAGUGUGUGGGUAAGGCUAGGUAGGGCCAAAAGACCACAUGCAAAAGAGGUACUACAUGGCGCGCUAUCCCCUGCUGCUCAUGGAGGGAUAGGUAAAUCCUUAAGGGUGUGGGUGAGGCUAGGUCAGGCCAAUAGACCACAUGCCAAAAGAGGUACAUAUCGUGCUAGUGUCUUUGGGUUUUGACCUGUCUAUGGCGAUAUGAUGUCUUGGUACAUUUUCAUCUUUGUGGCACCUUGGAUUAAUUAGCUAUACCUUGGAUAUGGAGCUUACUUCAUUGGUGAUGAUUAUGCUAUGUUAAAUUUGAAGACUUUUGCUUUAAAUGGUUGGUGACUUAAUCUUGCUUUGUUCAACGAGGCCUUAAUUAAUUUUAUUAGAGGUUGGUCGCUUGAGGUUUGUUAGCCUUAGGCAUGGUAGGCCUAGAAUCGAUGUUAAGGUUCCUUAUUCUAGAUAAGAUUGUGAGUUUGUUUAAUUCAAUUGGAGUUUUGUAAUAUAUUCAUGUAUUAUGUAGAGGCACAUGAUUUUUUGUUAUUGUCCGUAAAAUGUGUUAUAGAACUCUAACUUGUAAU